AGGCCUGGGCAUGCGGCGGCCACAGGCGCUGCUCCCCGCGCGGCCUCGCAGAGCGGGCGCCUGGCGCUGCUCAUCUGGGCACCGGACAAGUUUGCUCUCCCCUUUCGAACUCAGAGGCAGCCUCAGAGUUAUUGAGCCAGAGAGAGAGAGAGAGAGAGAAAGAGAGAGCAAAGAAGAAAGUUCUCAGAGUACAAAUAAACUGGAAAGCGCUCAGGAGGCGGCGAGCUUACCUUAACUCGGAGGGAGCCAUUUUUCAGAGAGUUUUGAGAACUUGUGGUUUGGACACUUCUGGACCUAAAAUUGACAGUUUGAAUGACCAGGCGGCACACGUAGCCUGCAAAAGAGUCAAAUGGAGUCCAGCGUCAGUGAGAUUAUAUGUUAUGUGGUAUAUAAUGUUGGAUGUCAACUCCCCAAAACCAUAAAACUUACUUUAAUGGCCCCACGUGACGUUUUAUAGCCAGUGAGCCGAUCUGUCUGUGCUAUGGAUGAUUUUACGAUCUAAUUCAUAGACAAAACCCUAUUCAUUUGGCACCCAAAUGUCAUAUAGCCGGAACUGGGGCUUAUAAAGUUUACUGUUUUAUAACUUUAAAAAGGCAAGACGGCAUCAGUGUAAGCAGUCGGUAAAUGUGCAAAUCUCUAGUUGCGCGCUUUAGCCGCUCUGAGGAGUUUCCCAAUCGAGCUAGGAUGGGAAUUCCACCCACGCAUUAGUCCCUCUCGCGCGCUUCAGACACCUCUCAUCGGAAAGCCGGGCAGAGAGAAGCAGGCCGCCCGCGGAGCACUCUGGCUGAAUUAAUGGCGGCUCCCAGAAGCUCCUGCCCCUCUGACAGCUGUCGCUUGGGCAGCCGAGAGAUGAACUGUCCUCCUUCCUGGUGCCAGAGGACGCAGGAAAUUAGCCAGGUUGCGAGUCGCGAAGCUGCCGGCGCGGCUCCGGGGACUGGGCGCGCCCCACCUCCAGCGGGAGCCGCCAGGCCCGGCCUGGCCAGGGCUUCCCCUCGCUCGCCAUCGCCGGACAAAGCGCAGCCGAGCCGGGCUGGAAGGCAGAGCUCCGAAGCAGGCAGGACGGAGCGGAGCAAAAGAAUGCGGCUCUAUUCUCGCAAGGGAAAUUAUAAAAAAGUUCAUGUUCACGGUUCCCAUCCACAUGACCGACAGCGGCCAAUGGAAGGGCCGAACAACUCAUAAAGUUGUAUUGCAAAGUUGUAAAUUUUCAUAAACAACAACGGAUUU
This is a long non-coding RNA of Carlito syrichta (Philippine tarsier), 1224 nucleotides long. RefSeq lists it as uncharacterized. The record is from RefSeq and is a predicted model, not a curated record. Lineage: Eukaryota; Metazoa; Chordata; Mammalia; Primates; Tarsiidae. The transcript is spliced from 3 exons.